CACGUAGGGGGCGAGCGUUGUCCGGAAGUAUUGGGCGGAAAGCGCGUGUAGGCGGCCAGAUAAGUCCGGUGGGAAAUCUCGAGGCUCAACUUCGAGCUGUCGGUGGAAACUGUCUGGCUAGAGUCCGGAAGAGGAGAAUGGAAUUCCUGGUGUAGCGGUGAAAUGCGCAGAUAUCAGGAAGAACACCCGCGGCGAAGGCGGUUCUCUGGGACGGUACUGACGCUGAGACGCGAAAGCGUGGGGAGCGAACAGG
This 253-nucleotide ribosomal RNA is filed under the name uncultured bacterium. RNAcentral describes it as "partial 16S ribosomal RNA". It matches the Rfam family "Bacterial small subunit ribosomal RNA", at positions 524 to 776 of the family's 1533-position model. The record is from RNAcentral.